GCCCGGAUAGCUCAGUUGGUAGAGCGCAUUCUUGGUAAGAAUGAGGUCUCGGGUUCGAUUCCCGAUUCGGGCUCCA
This 76-nucleotide transfer RNA is filed under the name Candidatus Beckwithbacteria bacterium CG23_combo_of_CG06-09_8_20_14_all_34_8. Its description in RNAcentral is "tRNA-Thr". It matches the Rfam family "tRNA". Rfam says of the family: Transfer RNA (tRNA) molecules are approximately 80 nucleotides in length. Their secondary structure includes four short double-helical elements and three loops (D, anti-codon, and T loops). Lineage: Bacteria; Candidatus Beckwithiibacteriota. The record is from RNAcentral.